Molecule: transfer RNA, 70 nt
Filed under: Camelus bactrianus (Bactrian camel)
Lineage: Eukaryota; Metazoa; Chordata; Mammalia; Artiodactyla; Camelidae
Also listed under: 1 other name
Rfam family: tRNA
About the family: Transfer RNA (tRNA) molecules are approximately 80 nucleotides in length. Their secondary structure includes four short double-helical elements and three loops (D, anti-codon, and T loops).
Source: Rfam by way of RNAcentral
GGGGAGAUAGCUCGGUGGUAGUGUGUGCUUAGCGUGCACAAGGUCCUGGGUUCAAUCCCCAGCAUCUCUG